Molecule: long non-coding RNA, 1076 nt
Organism: Xiphophorus hellerii (green swordtail)
Lineage: Eukaryota; Metazoa; Chordata; Actinopteri; Cyprinodontiformes; Poeciliidae
Exons: 3
Source: RefSeq, a predicted model, not a curated record
UGAAGGAAAAAACUACAAACCAGGUGGACUGUGACGUGUUCAGUUAUGCAACAUCCGUCACAUUUACUUUCGGUUUGAAUUUACCUGUUCAGGUGUGGCUCCAGUCCGUUUGUCGGGCCUCAGUCUGUUGUUUAAAUUUUCUUCUUCAACUCUUUGGAUCGUUUGAACAAACUUGGAAUCUGCAGACCUGAUCAGAUCCAAACAUCCCAGUUUCAGGAGUCACUGGUUUCAUCUGUGUCAUUGUUCCAGCUGCUGAGGUCAGAAUCCAGAAACCUGUAAAACCUGGAGGUUGAAUGUUCAGGUUUUCUCCUCCAAACAUCCAACAAGCUGCCAACCCUUGUUCUUGUUUCUUAGUUUUUAUUUUUGUUUGCCAUAAUUCCAUGAACCCAAACAAUAAUUGCUGUUUAGUGCUAAAGAGAAAAAGUGGUUAGAGAUUUUUACAGGACCAGCAGAUGCUGACCUUUGACCUGCUAUGGAAGGACUUAGUUUUUGACUCACUGUUUUUUGGUUCUGAGUUCAUUUUAAGAGCUUCUGAGGAACAAAUGAGUUUUUAUUCAUGUGCUGGUAAAUGAACAGUAGAACUGGUUCUGAUAACUUUUUACCAUCACUGACAUAUUUGGAUAAUUUAAAAACACUUCAUCUGUUUAAUAAUCAGACAUCAUUCAGGUUGUAGUUUUACCACCAGAGGGAGACAAAUCCCCACCAAUGAAGAUUUCAGUUGGUUCUAACAGGUUCUGGUUCCAUUAGACCUGAACAGAACCUGGAUCAGCAGAAUAACAGCAGCCGAAUGUUUGUGUUCAAACUGGGAGUCAUGAGUAGAUUUUCUGUCUUCAGACGUCAACAGAUAAACUUUCCUCUAACAGUUCUCAGUCUGACCAGUCAAACCAGUUUGGUCUCAUUUCUACUCAGAUUACUUUCUGUUUAAACUCACCUGUUAAGGUGAGGCACCAGGCUGGUUCUGUUGGGUCUCAGUUUGUUGAUCACAUAUUCUUGUUCAACUCUUUGGAUCGUCUGAACAAACUGUGAAGGUAGAAAGUGUGUGUGAGCUGAUGUGAAUUCAGCAGCAUGGAUCAGUG